GAUGAACGCUGGCGGCGUGCCUAAUACAUGCAGGUCGAGCGAACAGACGAGGAGCUUGCUCCUCUGACGUUAGCGGCGGACGGGUGAGUAACACGUGGAUAACCUACCUAUAAGACUGGGAUCACUUCGGGACACCGGCGCUAAUACCGGAUAAUAUAUUGCACCGCAUGGUUCAUUAGUGAAAGACGGUUUUGCUGUCACUUAUAGAUGGAUCCGCGCCGCAUUAGCUAGUUGGUAAGGUAACGGCUUACCACGGCAACGAUGCGUAGCCGACGUGUGAGGGUGGUAGGCCGCACGGGAACUGGGACACGGUCAAGACGCCUGCGGGAGGCAGCAGUAGGGAAUCGGCCGCAAUGGUCGAAAGCCUGACAGAGCAACGCCGCGUGAGUGAUGAAGGUCUUCGGAUCGUAAAACUCUGUUAUGAGGGAAAAACAAAUGUGUAAGUAACUAUGCACGGCUUGACGGUACCUAAUCAGAAAGCCACGGCUAACUACGUG
RNAcentral lists this ribosomal RNA (497 nucleotides) under uncultured bacterium. Its description in RNAcentral is "partial 16S ribosomal RNA". It matches the Rfam family "Bacterial small subunit ribosomal RNA", at positions 28 to 507 of the family's 1533-position model. The record is from RNAcentral.